Non-coding RNA from Camelina sativa (false flax), 1616 nucleotides. NCBI's taxonomy places the organism in Eukaryota, Viridiplantae, Streptophyta, Magnoliopsida, Brassicales, Brassicaceae. The record is from RefSeq and is a predicted model, not a curated record.
CCAUCUCUCCCACCCUCUUCCAUCUUAGCCACCUCAUCCAUCUCCAAUUCCUACGACCCAGCUCACCCAAACCCUAAAUCGAAAUUUUGGUUGAUUUAGGGUUUAUGCCUCAUCUUCCCCGUCUCUCUCUCACCUCAUUGGCUCUCUCAGUGAGGAGCCCGAUUCCAGUUUAGGGUUUAUGCCUCAUCUUCCUCGUUUCUCCCUUUCUCUCUUCGUAGCCAGCCACCACCAUGGAUUCUCGAGCUAUACUCGAUUCCGCUUUGUUUCAACUCACUCCUACUCGCACGAGAGUCGAUCUGGGCUCUUCUGUGAGAGUAAGAAGCAUAAGCUAGCUUCUAGAAUUUCAAACCUUUCGUCUCUCAUCUCCAAUUUGCUAGAGAUCAGAUCUCUAAAGGAGGUUACUCCAUCUCUCUUCAUCCUCCUUCUUUUCACUCUCCUUGGUUCACCAAAUCCACUUUUGAUCGAUUUGUAAACACGCCUGCGAUAAUCGAGAGAUUUGCGAAUCUGGAGAAAGAGAUCUUGUAGAUUGAGCAUUCUAUUCAAGCUAAUGAAAACGCCAAUGCUGCUGCUGAUGCUGAGCAAUUACAAACACAAGAUGGUGAAGCUAAUUCUGGAGUAAGUAGUAAUCUAAGGAAGUCGAACGAGUUAUUCAAGAAGGUAUUUGAGAAUGGCAAUGAGGUUACAGGAGAGGAAACCUCAAACUUCAACGUCUUCUUGAAACACAUAGGACAUUGCUACUGUAGGAUUUCGAUAAGUUUUGGUGGUUGCAGUGAAAGCCGUGCAGUAGAUACAGAGUCACUAUGUGUUCUAGCCGGAAAGGUGGUCUGGUCUGUUUGCAUUGAUGUUCACAUUUUUGACAAUGGAAUUGGCUGCAUUUCUUCUUCAUGUUCAGAGCUAUGGUGCAAGGCAGUGCAAGUGUGGAUCAGAGGACCUUGCUCUGUCCAUGACAUCAACUCUUACUCUCUCUCUCUCUCGGAACAAAUUGUAAAUGGUAACAUUUUUUUCCUUCUUCUUAUCUGAGUCAUUGCUUGACCUACUUAGUAGGAGUUGCUCAUGCUUCAUUUGAGUACAUCAAGUUCAUAAUGUGAGUUGGAAUAUCUUAUUGGAAGUUUUGGUAGUCUUGUGAAGGUUUGGAAUAUAUCUUAUUGCUCUGCUUGUUUUAUCCGUUUCAUUAUGUUUUUGUGUUUAUGUCUUGGUAUAGGUUCCCACAUUGCCUAUAUCUGUUAGUUGUCUAUUUGAACAUGUUGUAACGUUGAAUAAUAAGGUUUGUAGGUUUCCGCUCAUGUAUAGGUAACACUUACAAUUUAUGGUUUAUUUAUCUCUAUGUGAUUGCUAUGUGCUUAUAGGGUUAAUGGCAUAUUGUGGCUUCUCACGAUUCUUUUGUUUCAUAUGAGCAGAUAUAUAUGGAGAGGAUAACUAACAUGUCUUUUUCAUACAUUCAAAGUGAACUAGUAGCUGUUCAAUGGACUAUUUCAAGAAACGCUAAGUGAGCAGCUAAAAGAGAGUCUUUGCUACAACAAGUAAGAAAGGCUGGGUUACAUGUACAUGUCAUGUUAGUUUUAUUGUUAGUUUUAUUUUGUUUAAGACUUGGUGACACUUUGUUAUGUAAGACUUAU